Long non-coding RNA from Chelonoidis abingdonii (Abingdon island giant tortoise), 1104 nucleotides. RefSeq lists it as uncharacterized. Lineage: Eukaryota; Metazoa; Chordata; Testudines; Testudinidae. The record is from RefSeq and is a predicted model, not a curated record.
GCGCGGGGAUCGUCGCGCUCUGAUGAAUCAUUCUGCAAGGGCUGCGCGCGAUAACAGUAUCCUUCCGCCGCGCGGGGCCAGGAGAGCAGCAGUUGAAAUGGUUUAGCACAGAACUGAUGAAGAUCCCGAUGGGAAGAAGAAACGUGGUGGUUUCUUUCACUGCCCACAGCACCAUGGCUACUCCCUUUUGAACAACCUUCAGCCCAAAUGACCCUCCCAAGAAAAUCAACCACCAGAUGCUGAUACCAGCAGAAAUCUAGGAGAAGCUUGUAUUCUAGGUCCUCACAGAAAUGCAAUGAAAUAUUACUUGAGAGACCUCACAGAAGCAGCUUUUUUCUGGCUCCCUAAUGCUAUGAGUAACCUUGGUAAGGCCAAAAUAAGUCAAAAUUCGUCUCAAGGCAAGUCCAAUAACCUCAGUGGAGUUAUGCUAGCAACGAAUUUGGCACACUCAGGAGAGGGAAAGGAGGAAUUCUAAUUGCAUGCAUAUUUUUAUUAGAUAUAUUUUAUCUAAGAGAGCCUACGCCUCAGGCUGGUGGGAGGUAGGAGCAUCAUAAAGAAAGAGACAGGCUGCACCACCUCUGAAUACCAUAGCAGCCAGCCCCAAAGCAGCACACACACACGCACACGCCUAGUAUCCUACAUCGUUGUCUUUGGCGAGGUAAUAUCCUAUACUACACAAGAUGCUAAAGUGACCAGCUGGGGGAACCUCCAUUCUUGGGGGAUCCCAAUUCUAAACCUUUUGGUAAUUCAAAGCAGAUGGGAAAACUGAACAUGAUGCAGAUAAAGCUCACCUUUCUGCCAGCGUACUUCAUUUUCAAUUUAUGUGGAGGUGUUUCCAUUAUGUACAGGGCAGGAUGAGAAUGUGCAAGGAUCUUGGGGCCUGGUUUUCUCAAACCAUGGCUGAGAGACAGCUUAAAUCCCUUUCAUCCUCUAAUUCUUAUUAGUGCCAUUUGGGGUCUUCCCUGCCUAUAGAACAGCUUGUGCUGCUGCUGCUACAGAGUUUCCCAGUAUUGUGCUAGAAGUGAGACUCAUCCCAGAGGGAGAGCAGACUCCUAAACUGGCCCUUGUGCCCCAUAAGAGGAAUGAAUCUGCGGGCUCAAGCUA